UUUCCACAGGCUUUCUUGAACUGUGAACUCGUGGGGGUAGAAACCUUGCUGGGUUUGGUUCCCAUGUCGGAUGGAAUGCUUGGCUCCUCCCAGCGAUUCUUCCCCGGCCGUGAGUGAAUUGAAUUGCGGGGUUUCUCGCUUCGCUCGGCCGGCUCUACCUGUUGAUGGUUCAAGAAAGCCCAUGGAAAC
This 189-nucleotide microRNA precursor is filed under the name Sorghum bicolor (sorghum). Its description in RNAcentral is "miR396e stem-loop (sbi-MIR396e)". Its record names the gene sbi-MIR396e. Lineage: Eukaryota; Viridiplantae; Streptophyta; Magnoliopsida; Poales; Poaceae. The record is from miRBase by way of RNAcentral.